Long non-coding RNA from Helianthus annuus (common sunflower), 577 nucleotides. RefSeq lists it as uncharacterized. The record is from RefSeq and is a predicted model, not a curated record. The transcript has 3 exons. NCBI's taxonomy places the organism in Eukaryota, Viridiplantae, Streptophyta, Magnoliopsida, Asterales, Asteraceae.
UGGGCCUAAAAAGUUGUUAAAAUAUAUAUAAUUAUAAUUAGUAAAUACAUUAUAUAAAGAAAUGUUUUGAGGCAAAAGAAAAAAAUACCAAAUGGUAACAAAAGUACCUCUUCUUGAGACCGUUGGUACUCUGCUUACGAUGGUGCAGACCCGACACCGCAGGGUGCGACCUUCUCCAAUCACACGUGCCCACACCGCAGGGUCAUCUGGAUACUCACUAAAGUUCGGCCCAUAAACAUCUUCCAUCGCCCUCAAAUAACCCCCCUACAAUUUAUCAAAACAAUGUGAUUGUAACUGCAAUAGAUACGCUAAGGUUGGGUAAAAAUGUCAUAAAGGUCUUAAUAAGGGGAUAUAUGGAAACAUUCGUAGUUAAUAUAUUAUGAUAUAUGUGUAGGAGGAAAGGGGAUAGGAAAAAUUACCGGAAAACCAUUGCACUACAAAGGAAUUGUAUUCCAUAUUAUCCAUAAAGGCUUCUUGGCUGAAGGAGGUGACCUCCUUAGGAAAAUAGAUGGCACAGGUGGGGAAAGCAUCUAUGGAAAGUAUUUCAAAGGUACAACAAUUCUAAGAAUAAUUCAAG